CUGUAUAUAUGGCUAUAAAUAUGAAGAUCUUGAAGAUUGUUUUGCAUCUUCUAUUAUAAAGAUAUUUUGUUAAUUAAAAAAUAAGCACUUCAACGUUGUAAAAAAUAAACAAUGUAUGUUCCGUUAGAUGUUUUUUGUCUACUUUUUGUAUAUUGUACAUUUUGUAUAUUUUGCCCACAGACUAAAGCAGGGGUAGGCAAGUACGGUCCUAGAGUUUAGCUCCAAACCUGAAAAAACCUUACCUGCGCCUGAAGCCCUAGUGAUCCUGAAGACAGUGAUUCCAUAAAACACGACACUUGGCACAAAUAAUGUAAAACUACAGCUGUAUUUGUAUUGGGUCCGUCACACAACAUGCUGAUAGGCAGCUUCUGAGUUCCCAUUCCUCGUUAAAUUUACUGAGCAUUAAUAAAAAUAAACAAAGCUAGAUGAUGCCAUUGCAAGCUGCUCAACAUGUGAACUAUUCCAGCUACAUCUUCUGCUAUUAUUAAAUUAUAAUAUAAUAUUAUAAUCUUCUGCUACAGAAUUAAACACAUGGGUCUAAACUGGAAAACAGUAAAUUAAAGGAAAAGUUCACCCAAAAAAUUGAAAUUUCUGUCAUUAAUUACUCACCCUCAUGUCAUCCAAACCUUAAAAAAGACCUUCGUUCAUCUUUGGAUAUUUGUGGUGAAAUCCCAGAGCUUUCUGACCCUGCAUAGACAGCAAGGGAACUAUCACGCUCAGGGCACAGAAAGGCAGUAAGGACAUCGACAAAAUAGUCCAUGUGACGUCAGUAGUUCUGCCGUAAUGUUAUGAAGCUAUGAGAAUACUUUUUGUGUGCAAAGAAAACAAAAAUAACAACUUUAUUCAACAAUUUCUUCUCUUCCGUGUCAGUCUUUCACCAUGUCUGAUGCCGCUGACAUUACCGUCGACUUGAUUACACACACACUGAGAGCUGAACUGAGCUGGAUGAUGAUAUCACUGAAUCAACGAUGAACUGCCAUUAAAAGGAACAUUUACUGUUUCCUAUUGUCCUGUUUUUAGAGCUGCUUUACAGCAAAAUAGAUUUUUGUUUGAAUUAUUGACACUAUUGUCCUGCUUUUAAUGCUGCGUUGACACAAUCUGUGUUGUAUAAAGUGCUAUACAAAUAAAGGUGACUUGACUUGA
Cyprinus carpio (common carp) is the source of this 1143-nucleotide long non-coding RNA. RefSeq lists it as uncharacterized. The transcript is spliced from 2 exons. The record is from RefSeq and is a predicted model, not a curated record. Lineage: Eukaryota; Metazoa; Chordata; Actinopteri; Cypriniformes; Cyprinidae.